This 111-nucleotide ribosomal RNA is filed under the name Escherichia coli. The record is from RNAcentral. Lineage: Bacteria; Pseudomonadati; Pseudomonadota; Gammaproteobacteria; Enterobacterales; Enterobacteriaceae.
UGGCGGCCGUAGCGCGGUGGUCCCAUCUGACCCCAUGCCGAACUCAGAAGUGAAACGCCGUAGCGCCGAUGGUAGUGUGGGGUCUCCCCAUGCGAGAGUAGGGAACUGCCA